GAUAUCAUACAUGAUUAAAUUGUUUUGCUGUAACACAAUCCUAAAUCGAUAGCUUUGAGGGAAUAGGAGGCCACACCCCCUUUGGGGCUGAAAGAGACCACUAGGCCACACCUUACACAUUUAGCUGUGGUCCCCACAAGGUAGGCGUUUAACGCAGCGCUCUCUCGGACACGUAUAGCUCUGGUCCCCACGAGGUAGGUAUUUACUGCAGCGCUCUCUCGGACACGUAUAGCUCUGGUCCCCACGAGGUAGGUAUUUACCGUAGCGCUCUCUCGGACACGUUUAGCUCUGGUCCCCACGAGGUAGGUAUUUACUGCAGUGCUCUCUCGGACACGUAUAGCUCUGGUCCCCAUGAGGUAGGUAUUUACCGUAGCGCUCUCUCGGACACGUAUAGCUCUGGUCCCCACGAGGUAGGUAUUUACUGCAGUGCUCUCUCGGACACGUAUAGCUCUGGUCCCCACAAGGUAGAUAUUUACCGUAGCGCUCUCUCGGACACGUAUAGCUCUGGUCCCCACAAGGUAGGUGUUUAACGCAGUGCUCUCUCGGACACGUGUAGCUCUGGUCCCCACAAGGUAGGUAUUUACCGCAGUGUGCUUUCUCAGACACGUUUACAACAGCAUUUUUUUUUUUUAAAAAAGAGAUGUUUCUGUUUGGUCCAUGAUCCAAUUAAGACACACCAUGAUCCAAACUCUAUAACAGUAUUGAACUCUUUUAAAAUGGUUAAAAUAUUACUGUAACGUAAAUCAGUGCCUACUGGAACCUACCUGAGUAUGUAGUUGGCUACGUAGAGGGCCGUUUCAGGAUACAUGCUUCUUCCCGUUCUGGUGUGUGUGUGUGUGUGUGUGUGUGUGUGUGUGUGUGUGUGUGUGCGCGUAUAUGUGCUGGCCUUUAAACUAAACACACUGACCCACAGCUAAAAUUAU
Long non-coding RNA from Ictalurus punctatus (channel catfish), 923 nucleotides. NCBI's taxonomy places the organism in Eukaryota, Metazoa, Chordata, Actinopteri, Siluriformes, Ictaluridae. The record is from Ensembl.